Long non-coding RNA from Chrysoperla carnea, 221 nucleotides. RefSeq lists it as uncharacterized. The record is from RefSeq and is a predicted model, not a curated record. NCBI's taxonomy places the organism in Eukaryota, Metazoa, Arthropoda, Insecta, Neuroptera, Chrysopidae. The transcript has 4 exons.
GAAGAAUAGAGUUAAAAAAUAAUCAACAUAAAUUAUGAACAACCUUUAGAUUUAGACAUUGGGAAGUAUGAAAAUUAUACAUCACUUAUGGAAAUAUUGAAGAAAAGUCAGGAUAAUUUAACUAAAAUCAUUCACGAAGAAACCAAAGGGAUUUUACAAAUAGGAGAAGAAAUCUUAAAAAGCCUAGACUACAUGCCUUAUGCUGUUAUCUCACAUCUUGA